ACUAAAAAGACAAUCCGUAUGGAAGAGGAACUAAAACGAUUAAUAAUCUGGGAGCAGCCUUCUACAAAUGACCUUCUCACAAUGUUUAUCCGAGUGCCAAGGAACAGAUUGAAAUAUUUCCUAUAUGUAUUUUACACCUGGAUCACUUUGAUUGUGAUUUCGACUUCUGAAACCAUGGCAACUGUCAUUAACCUGACAUUGGAUUGCUCAAGUACCGCCACGAUUACAUCUCUAGAAUAUCCUUCUCUUUACCCAAAUGAUAUUUCCCAGGAAUGGUACAUCAACGCGACUUUGGAUAAAAGGAUCAUUGUCACGUUUCAUUACUUUAGUGUGGAGUCACCAAAGGAUUACGUGGAUGUAAUAGACGCUGUAGAUGUUCUAACUGUUAAACGUUACACAGGCCAGGAUAUUCAAUUCCCUCCUUAUUUGACGUUAGGACAUACCCUUCAUAUUGAAUUCGGUACAUCUAAACGGGGAAGAAGGGAAGGAUUCAAUAUUUCAGUCUCCUGUUACGAACCACUAGGUAAUUAUAAAUUUCAACCAAAAAUCAUAGGAUAUCCAUGGCGAACCUGGCUGAUUCCGUUAUCAGUGGCGUAAAUAUAGGGGGAGACACGGGGGGCAAAUGCCCCGCCUCCAAUCGGCUGGCAAAAAAAAACAAGGGAAAAGGGGAAAAAGAGGGAGAAAGAAAUGUAGUGGGGGAAGAAGAAAUUAUUGUAUGUUAUAUGACAGCCCAUUUUGCAAUGACGUCAUCAACCGUGCAAUUUUGGAUCCAUACGAUUUUGCCCAUUGCACGCGCGCACCGAGACUGCAUUUAUCUUUUUGUUCUUUUCUUUUUUCUCUUCCCCUUUUGUUUUUCCUUCUCUCUUUUCUUCUUUUUCCUUUUUGUCUCUCCCCCUUCUCUCACCAAUCGAUUUAGAGACACAUCAUUCCUUUCACUGACCGUUACUACGUCUCUAAAGUAAUUUCAUGUAGUAUUUAUUCCAUUACUCUGUAAA
This is a long non-coding RNA of Lytechinus pictus (painted urchin), 995 nucleotides long. RefSeq lists it as uncharacterized. NCBI's taxonomy places the organism in Eukaryota, Metazoa, Echinodermata, Echinoidea, Temnopleuroida, Toxopneustidae. The transcript has 3 exons. The record is from RefSeq and is a predicted model, not a curated record.